GGUAACCCCCUUGGAUCCCCUUCCACACUGUGGGAGGUUUGUUCUUUUGCUCUUUGCAAUAAAGCUUGCUGCUGCUCACUCUUUGGGUCCAGACUGUCUUUAUGAGCUAUAACACUCACCGGGAAGGUCUGCAGCUUCACUCCUGAAGCCAAGGAGACCACGAACCCACCGGGAGGAAGGAACAACUACAGACACGCCGGCUUAAGAGCUGUAGCACUCACUGCGAAGGUCCGCAGCUUCACUCUUGAGCCAGAGACCACGAACCCACCAGAAGGAAGAAACUCCAAACACAUCCGAACAUCAGAAGGAAAAAACUCCAGACACGCCGCCUUUAAGAACUGCAACACUGCGAGGGUCCGCGGCUUCAUUCUUGAAGUCAGUGAGACCAAGAACCCACCAAUUCCAGACACACUACCAAAGGCAGAGGGGAGCUCCUAGACAAAGAGACAAGGUCUUGCUCUGUCACCCUGGCUGGUCUUGAACUCCUGGCUUCAAGCAAUUCAUCCAUCUCAGCCUCCUGAGUAGCUGGGAUUACAGAAAAAACAGUGAAGCAUAGACAGUUUUUGCAAGAGGCCCAAGAUCAUACAUCAAAUAUGUGCACAGCCAGGACCUGAACCAGUUGAUAUCUACAAAUGCCUGGCUUUUGCCACUGGGCUCCUUCAGGCUGGAGUGUAGUGGUACGAUCUUGGCUUACUGCAACCUCCACCUCCUGGGUUCAAGCGGCCCUGUCAUCUCAGCCUCCUGAGUAGCUGGGGUUACAGAGCUCCUUUCUGACAACUUGCAAUUGAUCCAACAUUUGAAACCUUAUGCAGGAGCCGGACAGCUUGGUUUUGAAUUAUAAUCUUACAAAUUACUGGCUGUGUGUUAAAUCUUUAAAUUACUGGCUGUGUGACUUUGUGUAAGUACCUUCACUUCUCUGUGCCUUAGUUUAUGUUAUGUAAAAGGUAUGAUAAUAGUAUCUAUCUUGGAAUUUAGUUUUUAAAUAUAAAAUUUAUAUAUCUACAACAGCUGAAUAAGUGUUAUCUAUCUUUAUUACCAUUGCAAUUAUUAUUAUAAUUAUUUGUAUAUGUCGGGCUCAUAAAGCUCUUAGCUUUGCAAAACUGUCUGAGAAAGUUUGCUUUUCUUUGCAUUCAUUGGGAAAUUAACUUUUCUACACAAUAAUGUUUUUAAGGCAUGGACCUGUAAAAUGUUUAAUUGGUGUGGCUUCAAAGUAUAGAAAUUGUAAAGUAGGAAAUAAUUAUACACAACUAUCAAACCAAUAAUAAAGGUCAAUAAAUAUUCAAACAGUAUUAAUAUAA
This is a long non-coding RNA of Homo sapiens (human), 1298 nucleotides long. Ensembl annotates it as long intergenic non-protein coding RNA 2506. The record is from Ensembl. NCBI's taxonomy places the organism in Eukaryota, Metazoa, Chordata, Mammalia, Primates, Hominidae.